Molecule: long non-coding RNA, 473 nt
Organism: Maniola jurtina (meadow brown)
Lineage: Eukaryota; Metazoa; Arthropoda; Insecta; Lepidoptera; Nymphalidae
Exons: 2
Source: RefSeq, a predicted model, not a curated record
UAUAUAUUAUUUAAUAUUUAUUAAUUUAAUGUAUAGUUUAUAAUUUUAUAAUAAUAAAAUUUCAAAUUUUGUUCGUGGACGAGAACGUGCUGCCCCUGGUUAGAAACUAAAAUUAAGGUUUUCUUUAGAAUAAGCUUUUGUUUUUUUUAUAAUUUUAUAAUAAUAAAAUUUCAAAUUUUGUUCGUGGACGAGAACGUGCUGCCCCUGGUUAGAAACUAAAAUUAAGGUUUUCUUUAGAAUAAGCUUUUGUUUUUGUGUUCAAAUUUUAACACAAACCGUUGCGUUAAUAUGAAACGUAAUAAUAUUCAUAGCCAUUGAUUGAUAGAUUAGCUUGUAACUGUUCAUUGGUGCAUUUUUUUCCACUGUAGCGAUAGAACGCACAUUUGUUUUCUUUUUCGUAGUUAUAGUUUUUGGAUUUGCUUUGUUAGGUUGUGGUUCGCUGACUUUGAUCUACUUACAUUACACUUUUCCUU